UACGUAGGUGGCAAGCGUUGUCCGGAUUUACUGGGUGUAAAGGGCGUGCAGCCGGGCUGACAAGUCAGGUGUGAAAUCCCGCGGCUCAACCGCGGAACUGCAUUUGAAACUGUCAGUCUUGAGUACCGGAGAGGUCAUCGGAAUUCCUUGUGUAGCGGUGAAAUGCGUAGAUAUAAGGAAGAACACCAGUGGCGAAGGCGGAUGACUGGACGGCAACUGACGUUGAGGCCCGAAAGCGUGGGGAGCAAACAGG
RNAcentral lists this ribosomal RNA (253 nucleotides) under uncultured bacterium. RNAcentral's name for it is "partial 16S ribosomal RNA". It matches the Rfam family "Bacterial small subunit ribosomal RNA", at positions 524 to 776 of the family's 1533-position model. The record is from RNAcentral.